This 368-nucleotide ribosomal RNA is filed under the name uncultured eukaryote. Its description in RNAcentral is "partial 18S ribosomal RNA". It matches the Rfam family "Eukaryotic small subunit ribosomal RNA", at positions 592 to 975 of the family's 1831-position model. The record is from RNAcentral.
CAAUAGCGUAUAUUAAAGUUGUUGCAGUUAAAAAGCUCGUAGUUGGAUUUCUGGUCGGAAGCUCCUGUCCUCUGAUGAGCGUACAAGUGCGUCCUACCAUCCUUCUGUUAACCUUUAAGGCUUUCGCGGCUUUCUAGGGGCUCAGAUAUUUUACCUUGAGAAAAUUAGAGUGUUUCAGGCAGGCUAGCGCCGGAAUACAUUAGCAUGGAAUAAUAAGAUAGGACUUUGGUGCCAUUUUGUUGGUUGAGCCUAAAGUAAUGAUUAAUAGGGAUAGUUGGGGGCACCUGUAUUGCGUUGUCAGAGGUGAAAUUCUUGGAUUUACGCAAGACAAACAGCUGCGAAGGCGUCUGUCAAGGAUGUUUUCAUUA